UGCCAAAUUGCUGUUUAAUUUAAAACAACAUUUACAAAAUCUGCAAUACUGUAUUAAAUCGUCGGGAGUUUAAUUCGCAAUAUUGUUUGAUUGACAUGUUUACGUGCAAGCGAAUAUAUUUCUUUCGGGCCAGGGUUUUCCCCAAUUGCAGCUGAAUUUUUAUUGGUCAAUUUUAGAAACCAUUAAUUAUGUUAUGACUUGGGCGUGUAGUCAUGAAAGGUGGGCUUUCCUGCAGGCUCUCAAUCCUCCCCCGGAGCCCGCCAAAAUCCUGCCCGCUGCAAAUCAGGCCCCCCAUAAAUUUGAGGGCCUGCCAUGCAGGCUAG
This is a non-coding RNA of Paramuricea clavata, 323 nucleotides long. The record is from the annotation of a GenBank genome assembly. NCBI's taxonomy places the organism in Eukaryota, Metazoa, Cnidaria, Anthozoa, Malacalcyonacea, Plexauridae.